This 570-nucleotide ribosomal RNA is filed under the name uncultured bacterium. RNAcentral describes it as "bacterial SSU rRNA". It matches the Rfam family "Bacterial small subunit ribosomal RNA", at positions 1 to 559 of the family's 1533-position model. The record is from RNAcentral.
UAGAGUUUGAUCCUGGCUCAGGAUGAACGCUGGCGGCGUGCCUAAUACAUGCAAGUCGAGCGAACGGAUAAGGAGCUUGCUCCUUUGAAGUUAGCGGCGGACGGGUGAGUAACACGUGGGUAACCUACCUAUAAGACUGGAAUAACUUCGGGAAACCGGAGCUAAUGCCGGAUAACAUUUGGAACCGCAUGGUUCUAAAGUAAAAGAUGGUUUUGCUAUCACUUAUAGAUGGACCCGCGCCGUAUUAGCUAGUUGGUAAGGUAACGGCUUACCAAGGCAACGAUACGUAGCCGACCUGAGAGGGUGAUCGGCCACACUGGAACUGAGACACGGUCCAGACUCCUACGGGAGGCAGCAGUAGGGAAUCUUCCGCAAUGGACGAAAGUCUGACGGAGCAACGCCGCGUGAGUGAUGAAGGUUUUCGGAUCGUAAAACUCUGUUAUUAGGGAAGAACAAAUGUGUAAGUAACUGUGCACAUCUUGACGGUACCUAAUCAGAAAGCCACGGCUAACUACGUGCCAGCAGCCGCGGUAAUACGUAGGUGGCAAGCGUUAUCCGGAAUUAUUGGGC